RNAcentral lists this antisense RNA (75 nucleotides) under Micromonospora carbonacea. Its description in RNAcentral is "ASpks TB sRNA". It matches the Rfam family "ASpks TB sRNA". The record is from Rfam by way of RNAcentral. Lineage: Bacteria; Bacillati; Actinomycetota; Actinomycetes; Micromonosporales; Micromonosporaceae.
CUUGAUGGAGCCGAGCCACAGGGGCCGGUCGGCGGGCCGGUCCUGCCCGUAGGUGGCGAGCAGCGCCUGGGCCUC